UCAUAAUAAUUAGAUAAGUGUCCGUUCAUGACUUUCCCACUUUGAAUUCCCGGUUUCCCACCCUCUAGUGGCCUACACAGUAAAUUAUUAUAAAACCCGGGCUGCUUGAGUCUUUUCAAUAGUCGCAGCAUUCUCUUAAAACCCUAAUCCAAUCUUCUUUGCAUUUUCUCAGUCGAAGCUCCAUACAACGACAUCAGCAUCAAUGGGGGCGUAUACUUAUGUGUCGGAAUUAUGGAAGAAGAAGCAGUUUGAUGCUAUGAGGUUCUUGCUGAGGGUCCACUGCUGGGAGUAUCGUCAGCUUCCCGCUGUUGUACGUGUCACUAGACCAACCCGCCCUAACAAGGCCUGUGAAAUGGUUAGGCUGAACUUCAACCAAAAUCAAUAAAUAUUAACAACAACUUGCAAUUAAAGAUAACCAGCUGGAAUUAACAACCCAAGCUGUGAUUGUAUUAACAAAAUAAGCUUACAGUAAAGGAUAUAGACGGAGAGAUAUAGCAGAGAAAUUGGGAAAGAAGAAAGGGUACAAUUUCUGACAAAUGCCAAUCUGGUUGCGUUACUUUAGUUCCCUCAGUUAAGUACAGUAAGAGACUUGUUUUAUAACAAAAAACGUAUUCUUCCAUAACAAAAUAUAAAAACGAAAUGGCUUCGCUCCUUUCACCCUUUAAUUGCUUAAUUUUGUUUGUUUCUUUCCUUCUUCUUUCCCCAGCUAAUAUCUGGCUUGAAGUGUUCUUCUUCCUCAUCACAUACGUUCCCCUCAAAAUGACCUUGUCUGUAAGGUUGGAAGAGACGAAUUUCGUUUUGAAUUGCAGCUGCAUCUUCCCAAGUGGCCUCAUCCCUGUCAAAGCAUUUCCACUGAAUCAGCCAUUGUGUCAUUACCUACUAAUUUCUCUAGAUCAUUCUAGUUUCCGUCACCAUUUCAGGUUACAUGUAGAUCAUUUCCUGAUCUCCGCUCUCUGGUAGUAACAAAAUAGGUACCUCAUGUUCUCCUAUUUUUUUCUUAAGUAAAGAUACAUGGAAUACUGGGUGUAUUUUUGAAGUAUGGGGUAGGAUCAAUUCAUACACCACUUGGCCAAUCCUCCUGAUGAUUUUGUAAGGUCCAUAGUAUUUGGUAGCUACCUUUUGAUUAGUCCUUCUCAUAGCAAAAUUUUGCUUGUAAGGAUGUAACUUCAAAUACACCCAAUCACCAACUGCAAACACUCUUUCUACUUUGUGCUGGUCAGCAUAGAAUUUCAUCCUUGCUCGGGCUUGAGCAAGGUGUUCUUUUAGAAGUAGGUCCAUUUGAUGCCUCUCUUGCACUAGUUCUUCCACUGCUGCCACAUUGGUUUGCUAAUAAGUUCCCAAUGCCAAAUGCAGUGGUUUAAUACCAUAUAAGGCUUCAAAGGGGCUCAUUUUAAUUGUUGUGUGGUAGGUCGUAUUAUACCACCAUUCAGCCAGUGAUAACCAGUCAAUUCAUCUCCUAGGUUGGUGGACUGUUAUACACCUUAAAUACAUUCCCAAACAGUGGUUAAGCCUCUCAGUUUGCCCGUUCAUUUGUAGAUGAUACGUAGAGCUCAGGUACAGGUUGGUUUCCAUCAUUUUGAAGAGCACCUGCCAAAACCCACUAGUAAAAAUCUUGUCCCUGUCUAACAUAAUACUUUGAGGCAUUUCAUGGAGCUUAUAGAUGUUAUCAAGGAAGACUUUGGCUACUAUGAUUGCAGAGAAGGGAUGAGAUAAGGCUAUGAAGUGUCCGUAUUUAGUAAAUCGGUCCACCACUACCAGGAUAACUAUUUUCUUUUUUGAAGAGGGCAAGCCUUCAGUAAAAUCCAUGGAUAUGUGGCUCCAUGAAUAUUGUGGUUUAGGCAAAGGUUGUAGUAGGCCAGGGUAGGGAACAUGUUCUACCUUGCAUCUUUGAAAAACAUCACACUGAAUUAUCUUCCGCUUGAUAUAUCUAAUCAUCCCUGACCAAUAAAAGUGUUGCUUAGCCCUGAAUACCAUAGUAGCCUUCAUUUUGGAAAGAAUUGAUAUUUUGAAUCAACUUGGCCCUUAUCUAACCUCCAGAUCCCACAUAUAUCUUGCCUUUAAAUCUGAGUAAACCAUUGUGAUAGGAAAAUUCAGAGUCUUCAUUGGGUUUUAAUCAACAAUUACUCAAUAUGAUUUGCAGCCAUUGCAUCAUCUUAGUAGCUACUUAUCACUUCCUGUAUCCAAAUGGGUGUUACAUUAGAAAUUGCUGCCACUUCCAUAGAUGAUUCUUCUCUCCUGGAAAGAGCAUCGGCCACGACAUUAUCUACCCCUUUCUUUUGUUGAAUUUCAUAGCUGAGUCCUAGUAGUUUAGUCAACCAUUCUUGUUGAAUGGAUGUAGUUAUCCUUUGCUCUAACAAAUACUUUAAUGACUGAUGAUUUGUUUUGAUGAUGAAAUGAUGUCCCUCCAGAUAAUGCCUCCACUUCUCCACCGCAGUAACUAAUGCCAGAAGUUCCUUCUGAUAGAUGGACAUUCUUAGUUUCUCAUUGCAAACUCCUUUGCUGAAGUAGGCAAUUGGUCUUCUAUAUUACAUUAAGACAGCUCCCAUACCUCCAUGGCAAGCAUCAGUCUCAAUGAUGAAUGGUUGAGUAAAAUCUAGUAAAGCUAAAACUGGGGUCCUACACAUUGCUGAUUUUAAUUUCUGGAAGGCCCUAUUUGUCAUUUCAUCCCAUGUGAAAUUAUCCUUCUUCAGUAAAUCCAUCUAAGGUCUUGCAAGAACUCCAUACCCUUUUACAAACUUUUUGUAGUAUCCUGUCAACUUGGGGAACCCCCUUAGUUACUUGAUAGAAAUGGGAGUUAGCCAUUGCUGCAUUGCACUAAUUUUAGUAGGGUCAGCUGCCAUUCCCACUACUGAGAUAAUGUGACCCAGUUACUCCACUCUAGAUUGCCCAAAUGAACACUUAGUCCCUUUAGCAUAUAGUUGUUGCUCCUUCAAUACCUCUAGUACUCUAGCUAAGUGAUUACAAUGGGAUAUCGAGUCACAGCCAUAGACCAAUAUGUCAUCAAAAAAACUGAGAUAAACUUCCUCAAAUACUCCUUGAAAACUUCAUUCAUUAAGCAUUGGAAUGUGGCUGGAGCAUUAGUGAGUCCAAAGGGCAUGACUUUGAACUCAAAUAAGCCAUGGUGUGUCUUAAAUGUUGUCUUAUGUAUGUCACUUUCAGCCACUCUAAACUGAUGGUUCCUUGCCCUCAGGUUAAUUUUGGAAAACCACCUAGCACCUUGUAAUUCAUCAAUUAACUCAUCAAUUAAAGGCAUGGAUAUUUAUCUUUGAUGGUAAUGCUAUUUAGUUGUCUGUAAUUCACACAGAACCUCCAUGUUCAAUCCUUCUUUUUAACCAAUAACAUCGGGAAGGUAUAUGGGCUGUUACUUAGCUGGAUGAUCCCAACCUCUAACAUUUCUUUCACCAUUUUUGUUUUCUGUAUAUACGGGCAUCUGUAGGGUCUUAUUCAGAAAGGUUGAGCUCCUUCCUUCAGUGGAAUCUUAUGGUCAUUGAAUCUAGGAGGUAGCAUCCCUUUUGGCUCUUCAAAUACAUCCGAGUACUGUUUGAUAAUAUCAUGUAUCUCCACAGGAGGUGAUUACUUUUCACCUUCUAUCACUAAUGGAUUUGAGCCACGAACCCACUGGUCCAUCUUUUCCCUUCCUAUCAUCAAAAUUUCAUCCUUUCCCAACUCACUUUUUAGUUCAACUUCCAUUCCCUUAUAACAAAAUUUAAUGCUGCUUUGUUCGAAACCAAAUAUGACUAGGUUAAACUGGCUUAACCAAUCUACCCACAACACCAUAUCACUCCGUCCCAACUUCAGCACCCUCAGCUGGAAUUGGCAUUCCGUUCCUUGCAUGGUCUAAUUUAGUGGAUUACAUGUAGCACUACUGCACAGCUUAUCCCCAUUGGCUACAGUUACUGUCACAGCUAGAGUGACCUCUACUUUGCAUCUCAACUCCCACACUAAUUUUUCAUCGAUGAAAUUGUGAGUGCUACCACUAUCAAUGAGGAUAGACACCUUCUUUCUCUUGAUUUGUCCUGGAAUCCUAAUGGUCUUAGAUUUCAGACUCCCAGAAAGGGCAUUGAUAAAAAUCUCCAUUCUUCCUCUUUUUCAUAAAUUGCUGAUAAUUUUUCUUCGUCGUCUACCUUCAUCUCUUCCUCAUCAAUCGGCAUAAAAUUAAGCAUUCUAUUCUUGCAUAUGUGUCUUGGGGUGUACUUCGCAUCACACCUAAAAUAGAGUCCCAAACUUCUUUUGGUUUGAAUGUCGGAAGGGGUAAUGGUUCUGAACUUCAAUGGAUGUGUUUGAUUUUUUUGGCUUGGGUCAGUGCUGACGUUAGGUAAAUGUUUGGGGUUACUAUCAGGAGGUUUUUGGGGGUAUAUUGGACCAUAUAAAGGGCUAUUUCAAAAGCUUGGGAUACAGAAGUUGGUCUAACAAUUUUAACCAUGGAUUUAAUUUUUUCCUUUAAUCCACCGGUGAAUAUAGAAAUGUAAUAGGAUUCUGCAAGGUGAGGUAAUGAGAGCAUAACUUGAGACUUAAGAUCCUCAAACAACCCCUGAUACUGAGCCACACUUUCCUUCUAACUGAUUUUGCUGAAAACUUCGAUGAUUUCCUCUGCUGUAGAUUUAGCAAACCUUCUACAAAUCUCGGUUGAGAAUAAACUCCAAUCAGCCCCAGGGUUACUAUUGAUGAACCCAUGGAACCGCACAUCUGCCCUUCCUUUUAGAUACAUCUCUGCAAUUCUGACUCUAACUCCAUCCGGCACUUAGUGGAUUUGGAAGUAUUUUUGUGCCUUCCUCGGCCACUCCCUUGGACCCUCCCCAUUGAAAUAAGGAAAAUCGAUCUUGGGUAGCUUCACUUCCAGUCUCCUAUUUCCCUUAUCCAUACUGCUCUCAGAUGUUAUACCUAUUUUUGGUGUGAGUAGCCCUUGUUGGGGAAUACACCGAUUAUGUGCCUAUUAUAUUCAUAAAAGCAUACCGUUUAUUUGCGUGAAAUCGAAACGUAAUUUUGACUUACCAAAAUAAAAUUUGAGAAGCAAAACAAUAAUAGUUACCGAAUCUGAAUGCAUGAAUAUGGAUUUAUCUUUUUUCAAUUCUUGAACAAAAGUAAGUUAUUCUUUGAAUUAAACCUCGCAGAACAAACAUGUAAAUAAUGUUAAUCAGUUUUUGAAAUCAAAUCAUAAUGAAGAGAAAUCAGAAAAUGAAGGAAGAAAGAUGCAAGUGAUGAAUUUUUGGUCAAGGCAAGUGUUUGAUACUUGGUCCUUAAGAUGAAUUUGCCCCGCAUCGGUGCUAACGAUUUUUCGACAAUCAUCUCCCAAGAUACAACGACCACCUCAAGCCAUAGGAGCACUUCAAAUGGCUUUGACUAACGAACUCGAACGAAAUUCCCUCUCUACUGUAACAAUGAUUUUGAUGCAAAAGAUAAUCACUUCUACAAAGUGUUUUAUGUAACUUAACAUGAAAUGAAUAAUAUGGAAUUAUGGAAUUAAUUGGAAUGACAAAUACACAUCCAAGGGGUCCUAUAUAUAGAAGAUGAAGGGUUAUGGGUGAAGGGACACACCCUAAAUCCAGCAUUUUUCAUGGAAAGUUGCAACACUUCAUUUCAAACCUACAUCCUUCCGAAAAAUUGCAAUACUUCAUUCUUCCAACUUUGGGCCGUAAUUUCUCAUUCAUCUGGAAUUGAUUUCGAGAUUCCAAAUAUACCACGACGAUCUACUCGACAAGUAGAAUAACUUGGUCUAUUUACUUUUGUAAUUUGACCAUCGGAUCAAGUCCGAACAUAUGACCGAAGUUGACACGAAAUCAUACAUUUUCAUUUUCCCAGUUUUAAACUUAACCAAUUUUCGAUUAAUUUUUGAACCAAUUACAACAGCCCUUCCCUGAUCGUGGAGUUUCCGAAUGAUCCUAUCUUAUCUUUGUCCUUGGGUUCUCCCCUUUGCCCGCUCCAUUGUGCCAUCAUUGCAACCUUCAUAUUUAGAAUUCAUCUCACUCAUCAUUGCCUCCAUUCUAUCAUGUUUAUUACAUGGAUUCUGUCAGGUUUGAUCAGACAUCCCCACCUUAACACCGACAUUUUUAAAAGCUUCUCCAGGGUUUUCCACAUCUCUGUCUAAUUUCUUCAGAUGUUCCUCUACUACCUUGGCCCUAGUAUCCAUCCCCAGAAUUUUUUAUAUCUCUGAUACCACUUGUAAUCGUUGGGCUGAACUUCAACCAAAACCGACCAAUAUUCACCACAACAACUUGCAAUUAAAGAUAACCAGCUGGAAUUAACUACCCAAGCUGUGAUUGUAUUAACAAAAUAAGAUUACAGUAAAGGAGAAAGACGGAGGAAAAUAGCAGAGAAAUUGGGGAAGAAGAAAGAGCUGAUAUCUGGCUUGAAGUGUUCUUCUUCCUCAUCACAGCCCACCGCCUCGGAUACAAGGCCAAGCAGGGAUAUGUUAUCUACCGUGUACAUGUGAGACGUGGAGGAAGGAAGAGACCAGUUCCCAAGGGUAUUGUGUACAGUAAGCCCACCAACCAGGGUGUUACUCAACUGAAAUUCCAACGCAGUAAGCGCUCUGUUGCAGAGGAACGUGCUGGAAGGAAACUGAGUGGUCUUAGGGUUCUGAACUCUUACUGGAUCGACGAGGAUUCAACUUACAAGUACUCUGAAGUUAUGUUGGUGGACACAGCCCAUGCUGCUGUCCGUAAUGACCCAAGGAUCAACUGGAUCUGCAAUGCUGUCCACAAACACAGGGAACUUCGUGGUCUUACCUCUGCUGGAAAGAAAUACAGGGGUCUUCGUGGAAAAGGGCAGUUGAACCACAAAGCAAGACCUUCAAGAAGGGCUUCCUGGAAGAAGAACCAGACACUUUCCCUUCGGCGCUACCGUUGAAAAUGAUAUUUUUGAGUGUCCACCUUACAGCGACUAAUCAUGGGAUCUAUGAUCCAAUCCCUCUUCACAUAGACCAGGUAAACCAUUGUGUCUCAACUUGCAUUAGUAGUCGAGUUUUAAAGCGAGUGAACAAGUUUACGAGAGUUUUAACAGAUGUGGAGCUUCAAACUUUUAUAUAUCAGAAUAUGGUUACUCCUAACGAAUUCAGCUGCAGAAUUGCGUUACUGGAAUUUAUUUUACUCGAAAAAGAAUGAAAUUUGGCUAUGGAAAUGGCACGUCAUGUGACAUGCCUUUGUAAUUUCAUAUAUUCGAGUGUCCCAACAAGAAAUCAAAUUUUGUUAGUACCAAGUCCUGGUUUGGUACUCAUUAAAUUACAUUUCA
Molecule: RNA transcript, 7227 nt
Organism: Olea europaea var. sylvestris
Lineage: Eukaryota; Viridiplantae; Streptophyta; Magnoliopsida; Lamiales; Oleaceae
Gene name: 60S ribosomal protein L15-like
Exons: 6
Source: RefSeq, a predicted model, not a curated record